RNAcentral lists this transfer RNA (70 nucleotides) under Thenus orientalis. Its description in RNAcentral is "tRNA-Glu". The record is from RNAcentral. Lineage: Eukaryota; Metazoa; Arthropoda; Malacostraca; Decapoda; Scyllaridae.
UUUCUUAUGGUGUAAAUAACACAUUACAUUUUCGUUGUAGAGCUGGAGACCAAUUACCCUCCUAAGGAUU